AGCAAACUCUGGUUCUGCUCCGCUAAAUGACGGUUUUCCUCCUCCAUGUUCCCCUUCAGCUGGGUCAGCAGCUGCACAGGUUUUACAGGACCAGGUGAUUCAGGAUUGGUUUCAUGAUCAUAAUGAGCAACAGAGUGAAACAUCUGCUGAGUGACUUCUUAAAACCUCUUUGGGAAGUCAGCUUCCACCUAAAUGACUGGAGACUUUCCUGCUUGCAAAACAUGUGCAGCUGCAUUCCUGUGUGUGCCUGGUUAAUACCUGGUACUGGCUGGUGAGGCGGGCAUUGCUGAGGUCCA
This is a long non-coding RNA of Monopterus albus (swamp eel), 296 nucleotides long. RefSeq lists it as uncharacterized. The transcript is spliced from 3 exons. The record is from RefSeq and is a predicted model, not a curated record. Lineage: Eukaryota; Metazoa; Chordata; Actinopteri; Synbranchiformes; Synbranchidae.